RNAcentral lists this ribosomal RNA (499 nucleotides) under uncultured bacterium. Its description in RNAcentral is "partial 16S ribosomal RNA". It matches the Rfam family "Bacterial small subunit ribosomal RNA", at positions 30 to 523 of the family's 1533-position model. The record is from RNAcentral.
AUUGAACGCUGGCGGCAUGCCUUACACAUGCAAGUCGAACGGCAGCACGGGAGCAAUCCUGGUGGCGAGUGGCGAACGGGUGAGUAAAGUAUCGGAACGUGCCAGUCGUGGGGGAUAACGUAGCGAAAGUUACGCUAAUACCGCAUACGAUCUAUGGAUGAAAGCGGGGGAUCGCAAGACCUCGCGCGAUUGGAGCGGACGAUAUCAGAUUAGGUAGUUGGUGGGGUAAAGGCCCACCAAGCCGACGAUCUGUAGCUGGUCUGAGAGGACGACCGGCCACACUGGGACUGAGACACGGCCCAGACUCCUACGGGAGGCAGCAGUGGGGAAUUUUGGACAAUGGGCGAAAGCCUGAUCCAGCCAUGCCGCGUGCAGGAUGAAGGCCUUCGGGUUGUAAACUGCUUUUGUACGGAACGAAAAGGACUGCCCUAAUACGGUGGUCCCAUGACGGUACCGUAAGAAUAAGCACCGGCUAACUACGUGCCAGCCGCCGCCGUAA